Engraulis encrasicolus (European anchovy) is the source of this 1645-nucleotide long non-coding RNA. RefSeq lists it as uncharacterized. The transcript has 5 exons. The record is from RefSeq and is a predicted model, not a curated record. NCBI's taxonomy places the organism in Eukaryota, Metazoa, Chordata, Actinopteri, Clupeiformes, Engraulidae.
UUCAGUCUCAUCUCGCUGGAAUAGUGUUGUCAUGUGUGAAGAUCUACACAAAAUUGAGACUUCUGGCACAGUGGCCUGCACUGUUCGAAGUCUGUAAGAUCAGUGCUGAAUUCAAAAUAAUCACCACAGUUCCCCUGCAAUCCAAGCAACUGUUGCUGAAUUGGCUGAUUUGUACAAGAUGCACCAUUUCUGAGGACUUCUGGCACAGUGGCCUGCACUGUUCAAUGUUCGCAAGGUAAGACAUUCAAUUCGGAUUGUCUUUAAUGUUUUUAUUUGUGAAUUACAGCGUUGUAUCUCCUUUCUUGAAUGUGUGUGUGGGUUUCUCCUAAUGUUAAUGAUUUAAUCGUUAAAUCCUUUGGGCUCUUUAUGUCUUUUCAGAUCAGUGCUGAAUUGAAAAGAAUCACCAGUCCCACUGCAAUGGCCAGCACUGUUCAAAGUCCACAAGGUCAUGGAUGAAGUUGCCGUAGACGAAGCAGUUGAAGACAUCACAAUUGGAAUCUGCUCUGACAGAAGAUUGGGCAUCCCACCCUUUGGACAUUGUCAGUUUUAGUGUAUGUCUGUCACACACGUGACACCCAAUCGGAAAGGACUCUCUUUUUUUUUUCCAGCAACUAAAAAACAGCAGUUAUUUUUGCUUCUUUAAGUGAAAUGUACCUUUUUUCUAGAGAUCUAUUUGCUUGUAUGCACUUCCAGCUCCUUGCUGGUUUAAGAAUAGCACUUGAGUGUGCAUAUGUUUUGUACGUACUGUGUUGAUUUUGACCCAAACUAAAGACAAACAAAAUACCAAAACUAGACUUAAAUAAGACUGGGUAAUGACACAAAUGUGGUCACCAAAGAGGACAACCAAAUGAAUGGUGGACUGCCAGAUGCACGCGCACAUGCAUACAUUAUACGUGCACAUGCAUACAGUAUACGCGCAUGAACGCACACACGCACACCUACAAGUGUGGACUAAUGCACUUAGUCAAUGAGCUAAAAUAACUGUAUGUAGAGUGAAUUUUAUUUGUGCCCGAUGUGUUCACAUGAAUGCUAAUCCAGCCAGAGAGCACUUUUUCACAGCAACCAAACAAAUUAUUUUCUUAAAGGUGCACUGUGUAGGAUGGUGACCAGAGUAGGCAACUAUGCUGAUCAUUGAAACGGUGCUGCCUAUUACAAACUGUGUCCUUUUCAUGAAUAUGUACUUAGUAAUAAACGAAAAUGUAUAAAUGUAUUACGAAAAUGUUUACUAAAAUUCUGUAUUUCUAGAAAUUCAAAAUGACAGUCAGUGGAGAAGAUUCCUCUCUUUCCCCCUUUCAUGUAUGGAAAGAGCAAUUUCCCCAGUCAUAACGACAACUUAAAGUUUGGUGGUGGUAAAUAUUCAUGAAAAAUGCAACAUUUGUGCAUGGGCAGCAUGAAAUCUCAAAAUAAACUACUGAAAGUAAUACACAGUGCACCUUUAAAGCGAAUUGGACUUUCUUUCUGUUCACAGACCCUGCUUGUUGAUUGGUCUAAGAGUAGCAGUUAUUUGUAACUGUGCUUAUGUUUUGUAUAUCUGUGUGCAUUUUACAUGCGUACAGUGAAAGUCAAUACAUUUAAUCACAGAAUUCUGACUCUUUUUGUUGUUUUUGUUUGCACAUGCCUGUACAUCAAAUUGUGAUCUGCAAUG